AGCGAACGCUGGCGGCAGGCCUAACACAUGCAAGUCGAACGAACCUUUCGGGGUUAGUGGCGGACGGGUGAGUAACACGUGGGAACGUGCCUUUAGGUUCGGAAUAACUCAGGGAAACUUGUGCUAAUACCGAAUGUGCCCUUCGGGGGAAAGAUUAAUCGCCUUUAGAGCGGCCCGCGUCUGAUUAGCUAGUUGGUUGAGGUAAUGGUUCACCAAGGCGACGAUCAGUAGCUGGUCUGAGAGGAUGAUCAGCCACAUUGGGUCUGAGACACGGCCCAAACUCCUACGGGAGGGAGGAGUGGGGAAUCGUGCGCAAUGGGCGAAAGGCUGACGCAGCCAUGCCGCGUGAAUGAUGAAGGUCUUAGGAUUGUAAAAUUCUUUCACCGGGGACGAUAAUGACGGUACCCGGAGAAGAAGCCCCGGCUAACUUCGUG
RNAcentral lists this ribosomal RNA (434 nucleotides) under uncultured bacterium. Its description in RNAcentral is "partial 16S ribosomal RNA". It matches the Rfam family "Bacterial small subunit ribosomal RNA", at positions 29 to 507 of the family's 1533-position model. The record is from RNAcentral.